Anguilla anguilla (European eel) is the source of this 436-nucleotide long non-coding RNA. RefSeq lists it as uncharacterized. Lineage: Eukaryota; Metazoa; Chordata; Actinopteri; Anguilliformes; Anguillidae. The record is from RefSeq and is a predicted model, not a curated record. The transcript is spliced from 3 exons.
ACCACAGCCCCCACUACAACUGAACCUCUCACUACAACAGCUGUUCAGACAACUGGAGAACCAACCACAACAACUGCCCCAACUGCAGCCACAAUAACCCAAACAAUCUCUGGAAUGAUGACCCCCACUGCAUUUCAAACCAGCACAAGUCCACAUGGAACCAUGGGCUCGGUUUUCAUCUGUAUUCGGCUUGUGUUCGACACCAUCAAGACCGUCCCCAGCGAGAGUGAGAUUGUCACUAUGGCCCAAACUCUCUUGGAUGCUCGUCUAUGGCAGAUGAACGAUACAGUGAAAGCGCCGAGCAACAUGACGGACUUGAAUGAUCCAGUGAGAGUGCAGAAUAUUACUUAUCAGCAACUAUCCGAUCAUUCCUUUGAUAUGACACUGGGCUAUCGGAUAAACGACGUGCACAUUCCAGAAAACCCUGAACUCAGGA